Molecule: unclassified non-coding RNA, 642 nt
Filed under: Bradyrhizobium sp.
Lineage: Bacteria; Pseudomonadati; Pseudomonadota; Alphaproteobacteria; Hyphomicrobiales; Nitrobacteraceae
Description: partial 16S-23S ribosomal RNA intergenic spacer
Rfam family: Bacterial large subunit ribosomal RNA (bases 522-642)
Source: RNAcentral
CGGAGUUCAGUCUUCCCAGGCCCACCACUUUCAUCGAGUGAGCAUUCGUCUUCUGGUUACGGGGCCAUAGCUCAGCUGGGAGAGCGCGUGCUUUGCAAGCAUGAGGUCGUCGGUUCGAUCCCGUCUGGCUCCACCAGAUGGUUUGAUCGCCGAGAUCUUGCACCGUCGUCCGCGAAACAUCGCUUCGCAUCCUGCUAGUCUGGAUAGACAGCAAGAUGCGUGUUUUCUGACAUCGUAAAGAGGAGAUCGAUCCGAGUUGGGUCGUGCAGCAGAUUGUUGCGCGAAUCCUUCAUUAUCUCCGGAUCAUUUUCGGCGCUCGCUUUCAGCCGUGAGGUUGAAUGCGAGUUGUAAAAUGAUCCUUUUAGCGAAGCUUGACCGCCUCGCUAUCGGAACGAUCUUACGAAGCAAGCUGGUCUUUCUAGUCAAUGUCCGGCUGCAGAUAGCGUUCGUCGAGGGCGCGUGCCGCAAGGCAAUUCUGCAGACAACAUUCUGCCGAGUGUGUGGACAUUGAUAAUGAGAGCAAUCAAGUGCCUUAAGGGUGUUCGGUGGAUGCCUUGGCGCUGAGAGGCGAUGAAGGACGUGCUACGCUGCGAUAAGCCGUGGGGAGCUGCGAAGAAGCUUUGAUCCGCGGAUUUCCGAAUG